UAGUGUAGUUGAUGCAACAAUAAUAGUGGAACCAAGUCAGGACCGGAAGGUAGCAGCUUUAACACUUAAUUAUUGUGUGCAUCUUUUAUUUGUAAUAA
RNAcentral lists this signal recognition particle RNA (98 nucleotides) under bacterium. RNAcentral's name for it is "signal recognition particle sRNA small type". It matches the Rfam family "Bacterial small signal recognition particle RNA". Rfam says of the family: The signal recognition particle (SRP) is a universally conserved ribonucleoprotein involved in the co-translational targeting of proteins to membranes. The record is from RNAcentral.